GGGCACUGACUGCUUAUUGCACCACAUGUGUUUUUCUUUGAAACAAACUUGCUUUGGCGGUGGGCCCAGCCUGCCGCCAGAGGUCUAAACUUACAACCAAUUUUUUAUCAACUUGUCACACCAGAUUAUUACUAAUAGUCAAAACUUUCAACAACGGAUCUCUUGGUUCUCGCAUCGAUGAAGAACGCAGCGAAAUGCGAUACGUAAUAUGAAUUGCAGAUAUUCGUGAAUCAUCGAAUCUUUGAACGCACAUUGCGCCCUCUGGUAUUCCGGAGGGCAUGCCUGUUUGAGCGUCGUUUCUCCCUCAAACCGCUGGGUUUGGUGUUGAGCAAUACGACUUGGGUUUGCUUGAAAGACGGUAGUGGUAAGGCGGGAUCGCUUUGACAAUGGCUUAGGUCUAACCAAAAACAUUGCUUGCGGCGGUAACGUCUACCACGUAUAUCUUCAAACUUUGACCUCAAAUCAGGUAGGACUACCCGCUGAACUUAAGCAUAUCAAUAAGGCGGAGGAA
RNAcentral lists this ribosomal RNA (511 nucleotides) under Candida albicans. Its description in RNAcentral is "eukaryotic LSU rRNA". The stretch from base 143 to 296 matches the Rfam family "5.8S ribosomal RNA". Lineage: Eukaryota; Fungi; Ascomycota; Pichiomycetes; Serinales; Debaryomycetaceae. The record is from RNAcentral.